Molecule: ribosomal RNA, 253 nt
Filed under: uncultured bacterium
Lineage: Bacteria
Description: partial 16S ribosomal RNA
Rfam family: Bacterial small subunit ribosomal RNA
Source: RNAcentral
UACGUAGGUGGCAAGCGUUGUCCGGAUUUACUGGGCGUAAAGGGCGCGCAGGCGGUUGUUUAAGUCGAAUGUGAAAGCCCCCGGCUCAACUGGGGAGGGUCAUUCGAUACUGAUCGACUUGAAGGCAGGAGAGGGAAGUGGAAUUCCGGGUGUAGUGGUGAAAUGCGUAGAUAUCCGGAGGAACACCAGUGGCGAAGGCGACUUCCUGGCCUGUUCUUGACGCUGAGGCGCGAAAGCUGGGGGAGCAAACGGG